UGGCGACCGGACGGCCAGUCACAGAAAAUCGAGGAAGAAUAGGUUAAGAAACAAUGUUUACUAGGCUCGCCAAGGAAUACCGAAGCAAUGAAAAGCAAAUGCGGUCCCUAGUCUCAUAGAGUGACAGAUGUAUCUCUCAGUAAACCGGUGUCACUUAAGAGAAAACCAAGCGAACAAGGGGCCACGCACACAGCCGUUGCAGCAUAAAAUAUUUAUGGUUCGGCAACACAAUCGGCCGGGGAGUACAAGUCCGAAACUAAAGGAACCGAGUUUACAAAAGAACGUGUGUUCAAAUUGCAAAAUCGAUAUGAACCUAAUAAACAAGAAUUUUAAUGGUUAAGAAGCACUCGCCAAACAGCAAAAGGUGAAGGAAAUGGACAGUACAAUUAAUUCUACAAGUCUGGUAAGUUAUGAAAAUGCAAGUUUUGACUAUAAUCUGCCUGAAAUCAAGAGCAAAAACCAAUUAUUUCUCACACAUCUCAGCACAUAUCUGCAUUUCCAAGUUAGCUUUCGGGGCAACAAGAGGCAAAAAGCAGAUUCUGACUGGGAUCUUAUCGAAAUCGGCAACUAUUUGACUCAGAAAGGGGGUUUUAUGUCGAUAUCUAAUGGUUCAUUACGGUUUUAGCUGCUAUGAAACAAAUAAACUCAUCAGCAGUGGCCGAACACAAACCCAAAAAUUGUAUUCGUUAAAACUGAAAUUCUUGCAUGUAAUCAGUUCGUCUACCAACGAAAAAUUCGAGAGUCUAUAGAAAUCUAUAAACAACCUAACAAUCUUAACCGCGACUCACGUGUUUACCUGUCACCAACAUGGGAAUCAGUUAUCCGAGACGAUGUUUACGCCCCUCAUUUAGCUCCGCCCCCUCAAACGAUAUAUAAGCAGGUACAGAGGAAAACGCGAGCCAGUUUCAGUUAAGCUCUGAAGAAGCCAACAGGAUGAUUGACGGAACGUUAGCAAGUCGGACUCAGCAAAAAUCGACGGAGGAAUAAUCCAAAAGUUUUAUAAAAAGUAUUGCAGUAGCGUGUGGAAGUUUCUUUGAAAAAUUAGAUGCUUUUUACUGUUUGCUAGUGUUAAACGGUUAAAUCUUAUGCAAAAUUAUUUUUACCACGCACAUAAUAACUUGUGGGUGUAUAAGGAAGAAAUUUGUACCCGAGAACAUAUCCGAAAAAUAAACUUUUUUGAUUUAACGAUUUUUUUCCCAGUAUCGCAAUGCAUUUCGGCUUUUAUGUCUUUUAGGCUUGUAAACCCGUCUCGUUCUUUAAUAAACAUAACAUUCUAAACGCAAAAAAUCACAUUUCCACCGUGCGACGAAUUAAAAUCGUCCAUCACCGUAAUGAAGAUAGAUAUAUUCGGUGCAGGAUAAAUAACGGGGUAGAUUUUUAACAAGUUCGUUGGUUUCACCGCUGCCGCGAUUUGCGGUUAAAGCUGGAUAUAAAUGGGCGGUUCUUUGCGUUAUAUCCCGCCGCCCCGCCCGCUCCCACGGGUGUAAUUACGAUAUAAAUCGAUUCUAACUUCUGUUGACUUUAAGCACGGUUCGCGAACACCAUUAAGCUUAAUGUAUAUAAAAUAGAAGCUUUAAUGAAUUAAAUAUUAUUUUUCUACUCCGUAUCUCCAAUUAAGGGCCGAUCAAGCAAAAUGAGACGUCAACUUAGUCCAAACGCUUUCUCGAGUCACUUCUGUACCUUGUACCUUAGUCACCGAUUUGGCAGCGAUCGGAUGGUGAAUGACAUUCGUGCUGUUUUGCAAAGAUCUAUUAAAAAACUAAUGGUCGUUGAAAAGUAUAGUGUAGAACAUAUUGAUAAACUUCAUCGGACAAUUGUUUAUUAAAAACACGCUCAUUCCAAAACAAACUUGUGACUAAAGCAGCGUUUAACCUACACUAACAUCCAAAAUAUUAACCAGUUUUACGAAUGUCAGCUCGAGUGUCCCAAAAUAACGCUUUAAAACUUUUGUAUCUGUCUCAUAAAUUGCGUGGUGUCUACAUAUUUGUACCUAAGAUCAUUUUGUUACUUUAUUUACUUGCAUAAAAUAUACUAAAUAAUCACUUAGGAAUUCAAAAAAUUUAAUUUAAUUUAUUAUUAUUUUUUAAUUUUAUUUAUCCAAAUAUACUCCUUCAACCAAUAUUUUUUCUUUCUUGAAAUAAGAUUUUAAUGUUUUUUUUUUAUAUUUUUGUGACAACAAGCCUGGCCUACUUUGUACGAACAACACAUUUACUGAAUUAAAAAAGUACAGUUAUAUUUUCCUAAAAUAUGCAGUCAUAAACACUGGUAAGACAAUAAUACACCAUAGGGUAACUCCAGCAAACACUUUGAAAUGGAAGAUUUCUAUUUGACUCUGAAUUCAUUUGCAAGUUGUUCGAUAUAGUCAUUUUUUGAUUGCUAAUUCUGCAAUGUAUUGAGCUAAUCUAUCAAUGUGAUGUAAUCAUGCGCCUUGACGAGUUUUUGCGGGCACCCAUAACAGAUUCACUUCGUUCUGACUUUUUAUCUCGUUUAAUGCGUCAUAACAAUCCAAAACUAACUUGGAUGUUAUCGAGGGGAAUUAGAUGCAACAUUAUUAAAAAACAGACUCAUGCUUUAUGCAAAUUUUCAUGUUAGAAAUUAUGCUUGCAAUGACCCUUUUGAUAGGGCGCUUAAAUUCUUUAAUAGGCACUUUGAUGUAAAUCUUUUUUAAUUUAAGUCCAAGUGAAUUUAAAAUUAUUAUAUAUAAAUAAUUUUAGAAUAAGCAUUACUGCUCAAUAUUCAUUGUUAUUAAUUUAUUUUUUAAUUCUAAAUAAUAAUCAAAAAAUAUACAUUAGUU
This is a long non-coding RNA of Cylas formicarius (sweet potato weevil), 2794 nucleotides long. RefSeq lists it as uncharacterized. The record is from RefSeq and is a predicted model, not a curated record. The transcript is spliced from 3 exons. Lineage: Eukaryota; Metazoa; Arthropoda; Insecta; Coleoptera; Brentidae.